This 996-nucleotide long non-coding RNA is filed under the name Equus caballus (horse). RNAcentral describes it as "lncRNA (ENSECAG00000057424.1)". The record is from RNAcentral. Lineage: Eukaryota; Metazoa; Chordata; Mammalia; Perissodactyla; Equidae.
GGUUGCACAACAUGCACAAGAUGAAUGCACUAAAUGCCACCGAAUUGUUUACUGUAAAGGGGUGAAUUGCAUGGUUUAUCUGUGGGAUGGUUGGAUUAGCGUCUGCCUUCCCCACCCGACCAGAAGCCCCUCAUGAUGGGACCGAUCCUGACCUGUGUGGGACUGGGCUUGGUAUACAGUAGGUGCUCAACGCUGACCUUCCGAAUCAAUGAAUGAACGAAGCUGUGAAACGGAGACUACCACAGUCUGAACUCCUGGAGCUGUGGGGAGCAGCUGAGGGACUGCCGCUCAGAGGAGCCCCAAAUACUGAGUACACAGCAGGAGCUCAGUAUCACUGGCCCAGAGCUCUGCUAAGCAGGACUGCUCAACCCAUGAGGCAGGCUCAGUCUUCUCCCAGUAGAAACAGGGUGCCCAUUUUCCCCACUCACUUCAGCAGCACCCCAAGCCCUGCUCAGUGAAGGCCUAACUCCAACCCCUUGACCAGAGGGCUGUGCCUGGAGGCCUCCUCCAAGGGCUGGAGCCCAGCCGAAAGGAUGCGGAGAGCGAUCUUCAAGGGAGGGCACGCCGGAUGGCAGCGUCAGCAAACGCUUGAGCAAACGCGAGGAGGUGGCAACUCCAAGAGAGGAGCAUUUGCGGAGCAGCCAGCCCCGCGGCAGCUAAAGCACCUGGGCCAUGGCCUCAGUUUCCCCACCUGGAAGCAGAGGGCAAACGGAGGCUCCCCAAGCGGCGGGGCCGGGACCACUGCCCCCUGGCCUUGUCGGCUGCCAGACCUCCCUCACCCAGAGGCCUGUCUCUUUUGCCACAAAAUUCAGCAUCUCUUGGUUUCAAUCUCAGCCUCUCCCCCUCCCCCUGCCCUCGUCGAAAACCGGAAAAGUCUGUUUUGCAAACUCCGUGGGAGGCGGAAGGGGCGCGGGGCUGCCUGGGAGAGGCGCGCCGCUGCCGCCCCCUGGUGGCCGUGGGGGAACGCGCGGCAACUCGCUUAAGGACGGGGCCGGG